This 301-nucleotide ribosomal RNA is filed under the name uncultured bacterium. RNAcentral describes it as "partial 16S ribosomal RNA". It matches the Rfam family "Bacterial small subunit ribosomal RNA", at positions 509 to 807 of the family's 1533-position model. The record is from RNAcentral.
CAGCAGCCGCGGGAACACGUAGGUGGCAAGCGUUGUCCGGAAUUAUUGGGCGUAAAGGGCUCGCAGGCGGUUUCUUAAGUCUGAUGUGAAAGCCCCCGGCUCAACCGGGGACGGUCAUUGGAAACUGGGAAACUUGAGUGCAGAAGAGGAGAGUGGAAUUCCACGUGUAGCGGUAAAAUGCGUAGAGAUGUGGAGGAACACCAGUGGCGAAGGCGACUCUCUGAUCUGUAACUGACGCUGAGGAGCGAAAGCGUGGGGAGCGAACAGGAUUAGAUACCCCCGUAGUCCCUGUCUCUUAUAC